Long non-coding RNA from Leopardus geoffroyi (Geoffroy's cat), 1650 nucleotides. RefSeq lists it as uncharacterized. Lineage: Eukaryota; Metazoa; Chordata; Mammalia; Carnivora; Felidae. The transcript is spliced from 3 exons. The record is from RefSeq and is a predicted model, not a curated record.
GAGAAGAAGGAGACGAAGGAGAAGAAGGAGAAGGAGAAGAAGGCGGCCAUAGGAUAAAGUCAAGGGUAGGGCAAACUCUGUGAAUGAGCAUGUACCUUUUCUUCAUGGAUUUAUGAAGACUGGCUUUUCUAAGCCCCUGGCAAGCCCUCAAGAGCAUGCUGAAGGCCGUUGGGGAUGGAGGUGGAAUGAUGGGGAAAUGGAGGACCGCUGUGGCUGGGUUGCUUUCGUCCGUGGGUACCCUGGAGCUUGGUGGGCAGUGAAUGGGUGCCUCUGGCUUGUGUUCCAGCAGCUCCAGUGGGAGGUGAGCUGUAGCAAACACGGGAAGGAGGGUACAUCUGCGUCCCCCCUGGUAUCAUGUGGUCCAACGCCAUGCCCACCAAACACAAAAGCAAGCAGCCGUGGAAUCUUGACUGGGUUCGUGUGAUCUGUGGAGACGGUCAAACUGUGUGAUUAUAGUUCCCAAUUAGACUUUUGUUUUGGACCCAAGGAUAAUUUAGAUUUCCUGUUAUACACGAUGAGGAGUCCAUGCAGAUUUGUAGCAGGGGUUGAUAUGAUUUGAUUUAUAUUUAGAACACAAGUAGUGAGCCAGUUAGGAUUGGGCCAGGAGACUAAAGGCUCAUAGCAAUUUGAACAGGGAAAAUUUAAUACCGCAUACAAAUUAUUAGCUAGUUAAAGGGUAUUACCUCCUAAGACGUGUAAAGAGAGCUAUCAAGAAUACAGGAAUAAGAUGUAGGGAGCAGUCAUUUCUUACAGGGCCAAGGGAGCAUGCAUGCUAGGAACAGACUUGGAGGAGGCAUCCCUCCCCACUGCCAAGGCUGGGAUUCAUCUAGUGUGGACCAGGGAAAGGCAGAGAAGUUCACGGAGGUGAUGCAGGCUGGGCCGGUGAGCAGAAGCCACCUGCGGGAGUGGGGACGGAACUCGUGGGAGGGUUUGCUUCGCAGACCUCCAGCGCACCACUGGCAAAGGAGUGGCCCGUAGGGAAGGAAGCUACGUGCAGUGCUUGGUAGGAAGAAAAACUCUGGAACCAGGGAGGCAAGACUCUUGUCUUGCAGUCUCCCUCUAGCGCCCUCUACUGACAAGGCUGGCACCGUGCCUCCUCGCAAAAGAGAAACAUUUACUUGGGUUCAGCUCCAGUAUCUCCAAGAAGGGCAGGGAAGGGUGUAUUUGGAGCUUAGAGACAAUAAAUCUGCAGGUGUACAGGUAGUGAAGUAAAGGUGGACUUGAAGAGAGGAGAGUCUGGAGGCUAUAGUUAGGCGGGGUGGGGGAAAGGAAGAUGAAGUGGACAGACUGACGCUCUGCCCUUGAUCCUGAGACAGAGCUUGAGACAGUGUGGAUGGCAGGGAGGAGGAUUAGACUGGUACGGAGGGGGCUGAAUAGGUAGGACUCUGUGGCUGAUGAGAUGCAGUCCAUGACAGGGAAGGCUCGCGGGUGUGCCCAGUCUUGGUGGCCUUCAUAGCUGGAAAGAAGAACAGGCUUGGGCUUAGGGGAAGAGAAUAAAUUCUGUUUUGGACAUGACUGUUUAUGGCACCUCUAGAAUAUCUGGACAAGAUUCAGAAUACCCUGGAAAAAGCACAGUGGAUUGAAAUGUGUACUGGCGGUAUGGGUUUCCACUAUUGCUACACAACUCCCACGCAAAGAGAAGGAAUCACA